This 514-nucleotide ribosomal RNA is filed under the name Acinetobacter johnsonii. RNAcentral's name for it is "bacterial SSU rRNA". It matches the Rfam family "Bacterial small subunit ribosomal RNA", at positions 461 to 975 of the family's 1533-position model. The record is from RNAcentral. Lineage: Bacteria; Pseudomonadati; Pseudomonadota; Gammaproteobacteria; Moraxellales; Moraxellaceae.
UUGGAUAGUGGACGUUACUUGCAGAAUAAGCCCCGGCUAACUUUGUGCCAGCAGCCGCGGUAUACAGAGGGUGCGAGCGUUAAUCGGAUUUACUGGGCGUAAAGCGUGCGUAGGCGGCUUUUUAAGUCGGAUGUGAAAUCCCUGAGCUUAACUUAGGAAUUGCAUUCGAUACUGGGAAGCUAGAGUAUGGGAGAGGAUGGUAGAAUUCCAGGUGUAGCGGUGAAAUGCGUAGAGAUCUGGAGGAAUACCGAUGGCGAAGGCAGCCAUCUGGCCUAAUACUGACGCUGAGGUACGAAAGCAUGGGGAGCAAACAGGAUUAGAUACCCUGGUAGUCCAUGCCGUAAACGAUGUCUACUAGCCGUUGGGGCCUUUGAGGCUUUAGUGGCGCAGCUAACGCGAUAAGUAGACCGCCUGGGGAGUACGGUCGCAAGACUAAAACUCAAAUGAAUUGACGGGGGCCCGCACAAGCGGUGGAGCAUGUGGUUUAAUUCGAUGCAACGCGAAGAACCUUACC